Molecule: ribosomal RNA, 1152 nt
Filed under: Pseudomonas sp.
Lineage: Bacteria; Pseudomonadati; Pseudomonadota; Gammaproteobacteria; Pseudomonadales; Pseudomonadaceae
Description: bacterial SSU rRNA
Rfam family: Bacterial small subunit ribosomal RNA
Source: RNAcentral
UUUACAUGGCGGGCAGCUACACAUGCAAGUCGAGCGGGGUCAAGGUGCUUGCACUUUGACUUAGCGGCGGACGGGUGAGUAAUGCCUAGGAAUCUGCCUGGUAGUGGGGGACAACGUUUCGAAAGGAACGCUAAUACCGCAUACGUCCUACGGGAGAAAGCAGGGGACCUUCGGGCCUUGCGCUAUCAGAUGAGCCUAGGUCGGAUUAGCUAGUUGGUGAGGUAAUGGCUCACCAAGGCUACGAUCCGUAACUGGUCUGAGAGGAUGAUCAGUCACACUGGAACUGAGACACGGUCCAGACUCCUACGGGAGGCAGCAGUGGGGAAUAUUGGACAAUGGGCGAAAGCCUGAUCCAGCCAUGCCGCGUGUGUGAAGAAGGUCUUAGGAUCGUAAAGCACUUUAAGUUGGGAGGAAGGGUUGUAGAUUAAUACUCUGCAAUUUUGACGUUACCGACAGAAUAAGCACCGGCUAACUCUGUGCCAGCAGCCGCGGUAAUACAGAGGGUGCAAGCGUUAAUCGGAAUUACUGGGCGUAAAGCGCGCGUAGGUGGUUCGUUAAGUUGGAUGUGAAAUCCCCGGGCUCAACCUGGGAACUGCAUUCAAAACUGUCGGAGCUAGAGUAUGGUAGAGGGUGGUGGAAUUUCCUGUGUAGCGGUGAAAUGCGUAGAUAUAGGAAGGAACACCAGUGGCGAAGGCGACCACCUGGACUGAUACUGACACUGAGGUGCGAAAGCGUGGGGGAGCAAACAGGAUUAGAUACCCUGGUAGUCCACGCCGUAAACGAUGUCAACUAGCCGUUGGAUUCCUUGAGGAUUUAGUGCGCAGCUAACGCAUUAAUUUGACCGCCUGGGAGUACGGCCGGCACGUUUAAACUCAAAUGAAUUGACGGGGGCCCGCACAGCGGAUGCAGCAUGUGGUUUAUUUCGAAGCAACGCGAAGAACCUUACCAGGCCUCGACAUCUACAGAACUUUUCCAGAGAUGAAUGGUUGCCGUUCGGUGAACUUGUUAGGACAGGAGCUGCAUGGGCUUGUCAUCAGACUCUGUCCUCAGAAUCCUCGCGUUAAGUCGCGUUAACGAACGCACCCUUGUUCUUUAACUUACCAGCCGCGUAGAUGACGGCUUCUAAGGGAACACGUGCUGGUUGACAAAUCC